CACGUAGGGCGCAAGCGUUGUCCGGAAUUAUUGGGCGUAAAGAGCUCGUAGGCGGUUUGUUACGUCUGCUGUGAAAACCUAGGGCUUAACCCUGGGCCUGCAGUGGAUACGGGCAGACUAGAGGUAGGUAGGGGAGAAUGGAAUUCCUGGUGUAGCGGUGGAAUGCGCAGAUAUCAGGAGGAACACCAAUGGCGAAGGCAGAUCUCUGGGCCGUAACUGACGCUGAGGAGCGAAAGCAUGGGGAGCGAACAGG
Molecule: ribosomal RNA, 253 nt
Filed under: uncultured bacterium
Lineage: Bacteria
Description: partial 16S ribosomal RNA
Rfam family: Bacterial small subunit ribosomal RNA
Source: RNAcentral